This is a long non-coding RNA of Triticum aestivum (bread wheat), 1478 nucleotides long. RefSeq lists it as uncharacterized. The record is from RefSeq and is a predicted model, not a curated record. Lineage: Eukaryota; Viridiplantae; Streptophyta; Magnoliopsida; Poales; Poaceae. The transcript is spliced from 5 exons.
UCUCACGUUACCUUGAGCGGUGGUCUUUCAGAUAUUUUAUUGAGUCUCCUCUCGCGCGAAGACUCGAGACGAGUGUGGUGCCACCGGUUGGCCGCCGUAUAUGCCUAUAAAAGGGGUCUUCUCCUUCGUGGCGGUCGCUGCCUCGCCUCCUCGAUCGCCUCCUCGCCCUACUGUCCCAUCUACCCUAGCCUUUCAACUCCGAUCUUUUGUCCGUGUGGAGCUGGUGGCAGGCGUACGGCCAAGGAGACGAAGCAACGGCGGCGUGCCACCGCCACCUCCGAUGCACAGCAGCCACGGCACCACCGGCACAAGAUUCGCUUGGGGAGCACAGCCGUCGAGCAAGAGAGGCCCACCGGCCAUGGCCGACCGGACAGAUUAGAGGCGAGGUAGAUUCUGCCGGCAAGGCCCUCUUCCUUUUCUCAUGUUCUGCGUGAUCUGAGGCGGGAGGCGCUGAAUCCUUCCCGAUUGGCCUUCUUCCUCCUCGAUUUGGCCCUUCUUUCCGGCCUCCGCUCAUCUCCGGCCCGUUAUCGUUCGGUUCCCGUGACCCGUCCACCCAUGGAAGACCGCGGCCCCGCAUCCUCUGAACGUCGCAAUUCUUCUCCACGAAGAUUGUGCCCUUCAUAGUCCGACGGGGCUUCGUGCUCUUCCUGCACGAGGAAAAUAGCAUAUGGUGUCGUCCAUGGCGUCGUCGCUAACUCUAGCACGUCAGAGAUGACGGGCCACCUGACAACGAGCUCAAUUGCUCUGAACUUCAGCCUGCAUUGCUUGUACCUUUUUAUUCAGAUGUCCAAUUCUUAUUUUCUGAUGUGUUGUGUGAAGGUUUAUGGCGAGGAGAGGAGAAGUGGUCGUUCGGGUUCUGCGAGAAUGGCAUGUGUGCAGUUUUGAUUGAUACUUUAUGAAAGAAUAUGUUGGCGGACAUGGCAAUACAGUUUCAUAUCAAAAACCACUCCAAUUGAAGUAUUUGUGGUUCAUGUACACUAUUGUUUGAUAAAUUGGUGGCAAAUAGCUGUGUGAGCUUCAUUUGGUCAGGUUGUUUCGACUGCAUGAUGCAUGAGACAUGGAUUCCUAAGGAUUGUUCAAGUGCAUUCAGUGUUAACGGAUGGAACACAGAUUAGCCUUGGCCACAAUGAGCAGAAGGAGUACAAUAUGGGUGACUGCAGGUACGUCCCCAGGGACACCGCUACGUGACUGUUGAAGGAAUCACAGUUGUGCUGGAAGGUCCUGCCUUCCUGCUUGCUGUGUCUGCCUUCUCAUCUUAUUUUAUGAUCGUUUAUGUGAAGAAGCAGCAGCAACUUGAUUUGUUUUCUUGCGUAGUAAUAUGUGAGCUGCAUUUGCAGACAUAUAUGGGUCAAGUCACUCUUUGUUAGUUAGAUGUUGUUAGUGUUUUUCUAUCAGACAUGGUUCUGCAAUGGGGUUGACUGCCUAAGGCUCACUCAGAUUUUGGACUUGCUUAAUAACUGCUUCCUUUCAUUAAGAUG